UGGCUGCAGUCGAGGAUCUUCGGCAAUGGGGGAAACCCUGACCGAGCGACGCCGCGUGCGGGAUGAAGGCCUUCGGGUUGUAAACCGCUGUCGUAGAGGAGGAAGUGCAGGGGGGUUCUCCCCUCUGUUUGACCUAUUCUAGGAGGAAGUACGGGCUAAGUUCGUGCCAGCAGCCGCGGUAAGACGAACCGUACAAACGUUACUCGGAAUUACUGGGCUUAAAGGGUGCGUAGGCUGCGCGAAAAGUUGGGUGUGAAAGCCCUCGGCUCAACCGAGGAAUUGCACUCAAAACUACCGUGCUCGAGGGAGACAGAGGUAAGCGGAACUCAAGGUGGAGCGGUGAAAUGCGUUGAUAUCUUGAGGAACACCGGUGGCGAAAGCGGCUUACUGGGUCUCUUCUGACGCUGAGGCACGAAAGCUAAGGUAGCAAACGGGAUUAGAUACCCCGGUAGUCUUAGCUGUAAACGAUGAGCACUUGUUUGGAGGGUCCUCCAUAGCCUUCCAGUCGUAGCGAAAGUGUUAAGUGCUCCGCCUGGGGAGUAUGGUCGCAAGGCUGAAACUCAAAGAAAUUGACGGGGGCUCACACAA
RNAcentral lists this ribosomal RNA (588 nucleotides) under uncultured Planctomycetota bacterium. Its description in RNAcentral is "bacterial SSU rRNA". It matches the Rfam family "Bacterial small subunit ribosomal RNA", at positions 346 to 928 of the family's 1533-position model. Lineage: Bacteria; Pseudomonadati; Planctomycetota. The record is from RNAcentral.